GUGAUGCUUUGACAGCACACGUACUACAGUUGGAACAACGCAGAGAAGAUUAGCAUGGCCCCCGGCAAGGGUGACACGCAAAUUCAUGAAGCAUUCCAUACUUUC
Jaculus jaculus (lesser Egyptian jerboa) is the source of this 105-nucleotide small nuclear RNA. NCBI's taxonomy places the organism in Eukaryota, Metazoa, Chordata, Mammalia, Rodentia, Dipodidae. The record is from Ensembl.